RNAcentral lists this unclassified non-coding RNA (191 nucleotides) under plant metagenome. RNAcentral describes it as "partial contains small subunit ribosomal RNA and internal transcribed spacer 1". The stretch from base 1 to 54 matches the Rfam family "Eukaryotic small subunit ribosomal RNA", at positions 1778 to 1831 of the family's 1831-position model. The record is from RNAcentral.
GGAAGUAAAAGUCAUAACAAGGUUUCCGUAGGUGAACCUGCGGAAGGAUCAUUAGUGAACGCACUCACGGGCUUAUAACUAUUCCACACCUCUCUGAUCCAAGCCCUUCGGAGCUAUUUUACAAACGUGGUGUAAUGUACGUCAUAUCUCAUAACAAAACAAAACUUUCAACAACGGAUCUCUUGUCUCUC